AUUGAACGCUGGCGGCAUGCCUUACACAUGCAAGUCGAACGGUAACGGGCCUUCGGGUGCCGACGAGUGGCGAACGGGUGAGUAAUACAUCGGAACGUGCCCGAUCGUGGGGGAUAACGAGGCGAAAGCGUUGCUAAUACCGCAUACGAUCUACGGAUGAAAGCAGGGGACCGCAAGGCCUUGGGCGGACGGAGCGGCCGAUGGCAGAUUAGGUAGUUGGUGGGAUAAAAGCUUACCAAGCCGACGAUCUGUAGCUGGUCUGAGAGGAUGAUGAGCCACACUGGAACUGAGACACGGCCCAGACUCCUACGGGAGGCAGCAGUGGGGAAUUUUGGACAAUGGGCGCAAGCCUGAUCCAGCCAUGCCGCGUGCAGGAUGAAGGCCUUCGGGUUGUAAACUGCUUUUGUACGGAACGAAAAGCCUUCUUUUAAUACAGGAGGGUCAUGACGGUACCGUAAGAAUAAGCACCGGCUAACUACGUG
This 482-nucleotide ribosomal RNA is filed under the name uncultured bacterium. Its description in RNAcentral is "partial 16S ribosomal RNA". It matches the Rfam family "Bacterial small subunit ribosomal RNA", at positions 30 to 507 of the family's 1533-position model. The record is from RNAcentral.